ACAGGGAUUGCCCUAGUAACGGCGAGUGAAGCGGCAACAGCUCAAAUUUGAAAGCUGGCUCCGGCCCGCAUUGUAAUUUGCAGAGGAUGCUUUUGGUGAGGUGCCUUCCGAGUUCCCUGGAACGGGACGCCACAGAGGGUGAGAGCCCCGUAUGGAUGGACACCAAACCUGUGUAAAGCUCCUUCAACGAGUCGAGUAGUUUGGGAAUGCUGCUCAAAAUGGGAGGUAAAUCUCUUCUAAAGCUAAAUACCGGCCAGAGACCGAUAGCGCACAAGUAGAGUGAUCGAAAGAUGAAAAGCACCUUGAAAAGGGGGUUAAACAGUACGUGAAAUUGUUGAAAGGGAAGCGCUUGUGACCAGACUUGCGCCGGGCGGCUCAUCAGGGGUUCUCCCCUGUGCACUCCGCCCGGCUCAGGCCAGCAUCGGUUCUCGUGGGAGGAUAAGAACGGUAGGAAUGUGGCCCCCUCUCGGGGGGGUGUUAUAGCCUGCCGUACGAUACUCUCGUGGGGACCGAGGUUCGCGCUCCGCAAGGAUGCUGGCGUAAUGGUCAUCAGCGACCCGUCUUGAAACACGGACCAAGGAGUCGUCCAUUAGAGCGAGCGUUUGGGUGUCAAACCCGCACGCGUAAUGAAAGUGAACGCAGGUGAGAGCUUCGGCGCAUCAUCGACCGAUCCUGAUGUUUUCGGAUGGAUUUGAGUAAGAGUUUUAACGGACGGACCCGAAAGACAGUGAACUAUGCUUGUAUAGGGUGAAGCCAGAGGAAACUCUGGUGGAGGCUCGCAGCGGUUCUGACGUGCAAAUCGAUCGUCAAAUAUGAGCAUGGGGGCGAAAGACUAAUCGAACU
Molecule: ribosomal RNA, 843 nt
Filed under: Cytospora italica
Lineage: Eukaryota; Fungi; Ascomycota; Sordariomycetes; Diaporthales; Cytosporaceae
Description: partial 28S ribosomal RNA
Rfam family: Eukaryotic large subunit ribosomal RNA
Source: RNAcentral